Triticum aestivum (bread wheat) is the source of this 1656-nucleotide long non-coding RNA. RefSeq lists it as uncharacterized. The record is from RefSeq and is a predicted model, not a curated record. NCBI's taxonomy places the organism in Eukaryota, Viridiplantae, Streptophyta, Magnoliopsida, Poales, Poaceae. The transcript is spliced from 3 exons.
CCAGGGAAUAGGCGCAGAAUCAAUGGCAAGCCGAGUCGACAGGUGACUUCACACAUCAAAUCGAAUCAAUGGUGUUUUUCUACUAGCACAUCAGUGCAAAAAAAUGACAAUUGAUAGCCUCUCCUUUAGCUAUCAUACCAUGUGUUGUGUCACUAAGUUACGAUCUCAGCUGCGGUCUACAUAUUUUCAGAUUAAUGAAGCUUAUAGCCCUCCAAUGCAGUAUAUGUAUGCUUUACAAAACUAUCCGAGUAUUGCAAAAUUGCAUGAUACAUCAAAUUGGAGCGUAGCCUACAUACUUAUGGACUGUGGACUUAUGUUGCUUAUUUAGAGGCUGUCGUACAUGGAUCAGAUAUGAUAUUGAUUGCAGAAAUUUCUAUACGACUCUUGUGGAUUUCAACAUUGUUCUUCUCCCUAAUUUAGGAAAACUACAAGUAUUUGGUGCACGAUCUAAAAUAGCUGCAGGCUAAUCCUCCCCUAAUGUUCAUAAUGUUCUGUGGUACACAAUAUGGGUAAAGGAGAGCACAUUGCUCUAAUGUUUUUGCAUAUGAUAUUAAAUCAGACAUUUCAGUGGAUAAUAUAUGGUAUUGACUUGGACAUUGGUGUUGUGGAACAAUCUAGCAGGUAUUGGAUCUUAUAGAAUUAUAGAGUUGGCAGGGUCUGAAAAUCAUGGUGUUGGUGUUUCAGCCUAUUAAUCUGUAGAUAAAGAAAUUCCGUACAUCUCUACAAAUAAUCCUGAAGAAAGUUCUACUAUUGCGAACGCUCCAACUGAACAAGAAAUAUGAUUUUUUUUUAAUUGAAGAAGAAGCCAGUUUCUCUAGAAGGAAUACAGAAUAAUAUUUUGGAUUAUUUACUUGAGGUCUCAGAUUCAUCGCAUCAACCGUGAGGGGUAGUAUGCAAGGAUCAACCGAUGUGGAUAACAAAAUCUGGGUGCGAGCUUCCGGGAAAUCUAAUUGGGUCUAUGCAAACAAGCAGAUUUGGAAGAUAAUCCCUGUACAUGUUGAUUUGGCAAAUCUUUGACAGUAGCUGUGGGUCUUAUACUGAUGACAAUCAACGUGUCUUUUCCGACCAACCAGGGGUCGAUUCCAACAUAUGUUUUUCUCUUAUAUAAGGGCAGUGACUUCACUACGUUAGGCUGGAUGAUUCGAUGUGUAGUAGCUUCAUCAAACUGGAUGCUAGCAAAGUGAUAAAAUUUUGGAUGUUUUCAGAAAUAUAGCAUCACGAGCCCAAUAAGAGAAAAAAAAUCAAACAUCAUUAUGAAUGCCUUAGGAUAAUGAUUUUACCUUGCGGUUAUACUCUGCAUUGCAUGCCUGGAGAGCUAUUGCUUUCAGAUCCAAUUUACAGUCCAGGUUGACCGUCGACACAGUAUUCUUGCCAUCAGAUCAGGCACUAGAAAGCAUAGUACACCCAGGAGAAAUCAAACCAGGAAAUAGCUCUGGCUCAUACUGUCAAGCAACCAUAUAAAAAACAUCAGUUCCAAAACAAGGAAAGAGACAAGUUCUGGGAAAGAAUGAGAAAAUAUCAUACAUGAUAAAAUAGUGCUGACGGAACAGAAUUCACAUCCUAACCUGGUCGCAUGAUUCAAAGUUAGAUUUUGGCCCAGAAGAGGUGACAAGCGCCGACAUGCCAUGACGCUUGAAGAGGUGACAAAUCUGUGCC